Beta vulgaris subsp. vulgaris (sugar beet) is the source of this 607-nucleotide long non-coding RNA. RefSeq lists it as uncharacterized. The record is from RefSeq and is a predicted model, not a curated record. Lineage: Eukaryota; Viridiplantae; Streptophyta; Magnoliopsida; Caryophyllales; Amaranthaceae. The transcript has 3 exons.
CUGAUGACAAAGAAAACGAAGACAAAGUGAAGUUGCCUGUUCUCUCUCCUCAUUCCUCACUCUCCUUAACCGGUAAACCCUAAUCCCUCAUCUCUCUCCUCUUCAGAUCUGCUCCUUCCUUCUUCCUCCUUCCUCCUCCCUCUCAAUCCACCGGAGCAACGGACGCUUAUUGAAGAGAUAGAGACUGAGGAGAGAGAAAGUGAAACAAGAAAAAAAAGAAUCCAAAAAAAGGGUUUCUUCAACUCUCCAUCUCUAAGAAGCUUAGGGUUUUUCUUUCCUUCUCAAUUCGCCUCAAUCUUUUUUGUCAAUUUCCUCCAAUUAUCAGGUUGUACAUACACAAGCCCAUUAUUUGUUUGAUGAUGCAGCAAGCCAUCAAGGAAGGGAAGUUAGUCCCUGCUGCAAAACAUUUUUGUAAUUUACGAGAGUUAGAAUAUCGGAAGAAAUGUGACUUUGAAGCUUUUGUUGUCACAUCAUACUUAUGAUCUUUCUAGUCAUCUUCAAUCUUGCGUCUUUAGACUUUUAGGGAGUUUUUGUGUAAAUUAGUUAUUUAGUUUACAAAGUACUCUGACCAUUACUAUGGAAUGACAAAAAAAAAUUAUUUCUACAA